This 558-nucleotide unclassified non-coding RNA is filed under the name Hevea brasiliensis (rubber tree). Lineage: Eukaryota; Viridiplantae; Streptophyta; Magnoliopsida; Malpighiales; Euphorbiaceae. The record is from RNAcentral.
CACAUUUCGCAUCCGUUCUUUCACUUCGUCAAGAGUCAUUGAAGCCUCAUGCAUGGAAAGAUCAUCUCUCAGUGCUUCCCAUGCAGUGGCAUGCUUUAGUAUUCCUUCACAGAAUGCCACAACAGCGGAAUGUGGAGAGAGAAAAGGGAGUGUAGCAAUAGGUGUUGGGUGCAAUGAACCAACCAUAGCAGCAUGUACUCCUCCCAUGCUAAGUCCACAUAUACCCAUCUUCCCGAAACCCGCUUCACAGUCCAACCAAUGCAAAAGACAACGGGCCUCUUCAAUGGUGGCUCGUCCUAAUAGCAGAAGGUCACUAACACAUAACAGCUUUGACCCACGCUGCAGCAAUGGACGUCUUUUUCCAUAGAAAGGGCUCUCUAGCACCAUAGUUGCUAUAUUUUCCUUCAGUAAUGGACCACCAAGACGCAAUCUUCGCUCAAAAGUAUGAUCUCCCGUACCAGCAAGAUGAACGACACAGGCGGUCUUAUGAGACGGGGUAUAUUUGGGGGUGAGGAAAGCAACCCUUGCAAUGUGAGACUCUGGAGGCAAUGCAGUAAG